RNAcentral lists this long non-coding RNA (5243 nucleotides) under Equus asinus (donkey). Its description in RNAcentral is "lncRNA (ENSEASG00005023915.1)". The record is from RNAcentral. Lineage: Eukaryota; Metazoa; Chordata; Mammalia; Perissodactyla; Equidae.
CUGGAUUAUUUGCUCUCUUGUGCUAGAAUUAUCCCAUGGGGUAGGUAAUGAUUGCUUAGUCAUCUAUUUCCUACCAAUGAGCAGAUGACUCCCUAGGAGACAAUUAAGGACUUUAGAGUGCAUUAGCUCUGCCAGACUAAUAGAGUGAUUUUGAAGCUUGGCUAGUAGCUCGUAGCUCGGCUUAGCAGGCUGAGGGGUCUGGAGACUGAAGGGACUAAGAAAGCAGUUUAGAAGUCUACAGCAGACCUGAGAGUUGCAGACCAUAACCUGGCAGGUUCUGCUAAAUCUGGCAGGUGUGUUCUCAGGAAAAAAGUAGCCAAUUUAUUGUGCAGACUACAUUACAAAUGGAAGAAGAAAAGGACUCCUGUUGUGGGCCACAGAUUUCUUCCUCUUCAGCUUCCUUCUCCAGAAGACCCCACCACCACCCCACCUUGUGAGAACUGUGCCAUAGACUGGCCUAGAAUGAGACCUAGCAGAGGUUGGAGCGGGCCAGCCACUGUUUUAAGAAAAAUAUCUGAUAAAAAUGCAUCUUUUUCAUAAGGGCAUAUAACUGUAGGUGUUGAACGAAUGUUAUAAAUCCUAAUGAUAUAUUAUAGCAUGCACUGUCUAUUAACAGCAGCUGGCUUCUUUUGGAGCCGUGUUCUACCUCAUUCCUUCACAAAAAUAGCCCUGGUUGUUAGAAACCCAAUAGGCCAUAGGGUUAGGAAGAUAUAUGGCUUUUCUCUGCUGGCGGAGACAGGAACUAGCUAAACAUUGAAUGGCCUUCACUUAAGCUUUGUCUUCAGGUGACUUGGAAUUUGGGGAAGCAUUAUCAAAAGGGACCUGAAGGAGGGGUGCGGUGCUUGCUUCACAAUGCGUGCAAACUCUCCUUUGAUUUUCAUGGCGGUGGUUGUUGCUGAAGGUGAGCAUGUGCAGAAUCAUAAUACAUAAGUAGAGGGAUCAGCCUAACAUCCCAGCUUUACUGCCUAAGAAGCUGAGAUCCAGGAAAAUGUCAUGUUAUGCGCCCUUGUAGGAUGUCCAGUGAUGACUCAAGAAAGCCCUCUGGUUGAGAUGGUUUAAGUGAAUGAUGCUUAGAAGACAGAAAAAUGGAACAUCGAAUAAAUUUCCGACUUCUUUUGGCAGCAAAACUUUUCUUUCUGUAACACAUUAAUUUCUAGAUCUUCCAAUAAAAAAGCAGAUAAAAGUUGAUAAAUCCAACUUAGCAUUUAGAUGACUGUACUUUAUUGUUUGCAGAACCCAUCAUGCACACACCUCUGCAGAGCUCUAGGGGUUAAAGAAGUACAUUUUGAAAAACACUGGACUAGAUUAGCUCUGUGUGGCAGAAACAUUCGCUUGCCCUCUGAAUGUCGGGCACCUCCCCAUAUUUCCCAGGGUCUUGACAGCUACACAGCGUCCUGUGAGCAGUUUGGGCCAAUGAGCUAUAAGGAGAAAUGAUGAGUGUCAAUUCCAAGCUGAAACGUGGACACGGAUAUGAAUUGUCUUUGUGUCCCUCUUCCCUGAUGUCAUGAUGGGGGAGCUAUGCAGCAACAAGAAGCCAGAGCCUCCAUCAGCCUGGGUCCCUGAGUGUCAGUGAGGAGGGAGUCGUUUGCCAAAAUCUGCACUGGACAGCCAGUGUGAGCAAGAGACACUGAUGUUCGCUACCACAGCACAAACCAGCCUACCCGAACAAUCUCAGAAAUGAAAUUCUCUGGUUCCUGGGCUUUUUUUAAUGUCUUUAGUCCUCUUUUCUCUAAUCUGCUUUCUUUUAGAGGCAAACACAGUUCCAGCAUGCUGCAUACCAGCUCAAGAGUGUUAAUGGAUUACACUAAAAUGACUUUGUGGAUACGAUACGCAAGAACGUUUUUUAAAGUCCUAACAUUGCUGUCAAAAUUAUGUUUUAGCUGUUGUGCCCCAUUUUCUGAGCAGUCAGUUGGCUUAUUAAAUAGAAAAGGGUUCCCACACAAAAUAAUUUCUGAGAGAGUCACGCAGUGAGGCUCUUAUAAUAACUCAUAUAAGAGACAUUAAACAACAAGCAAACAAUAUCUAUUGAGUGUCUCCUGUGUACUAGGCACUGUGCUUGUAAUUACAGGGAGUAGAGCAUAGAGCCUAGAGCCUAGAGGUUCAGGAUAGGAAGUCUGAUAUCCAAUAACUUGCGUCCAAAAUCCAACUCUGCCACUUUUUGAUUUGCAAGUUACUCCUCUCCCUAGGCAUGGGGACUAUCAUGUGACUAAUAAUGCACACUCUUCAGGGUUGCUAUGGCUUGAAUUAAUACUCCCACACAAAGCCUAGCCACAGUAAGCACAAAACAAAUGUCAGAUAAUAUUUUUGAUUGGGUUACUUUAACCAACUCUAUCAUCAAGAUUGAAAUUUUCUUUCUGUUUUAUCAAAAAAUGCCUUGUUAGUAUUAGGUCACUAAUCAAUUUCUUAUGCAAAAGUAUAAAAACAUGAAGACUAUUUAGCUUUAUUAGAACAUGUUUCAUGAUCGAAGAUCUUUUCUUGAAGGACAAUCAGGAACUGUUUUUUUCCUUUUUUUGCUUUUUUCUUUUGGUGAGGAAAACUAGCCCUGAGCUAACAUCUAGCCAAUCUUCCUCUGUUUUGUAUGUGGGAUUCCACAACAGCAUGGCUGGAUGAGCAGUGUGUAGGUCUGUGCCUAGGACUUGAACCUGCAAACUCCUCGCUGCCAAAGUGGAGUGCAAGAACUUAGCCACUACGCCAGAGGGCCAGCCCCAGGAAUAUUAUUUUAGAGCCCUCUCUUUCUUCAUUUAAUCACCUCAAUAUAAAAUAACUUCGUCCAAAAGCAACCAAAGUGAUUAAUCUUCACCUCGCAAUCUGUUAAUGGGCUGCUGUGUAUUUUAUUAAUUUGAUUCAUAGAUUGCACAAAAUAUUUUCCAUCAUAUCUAAUGCAAUAUUUCUUUUCUGUUCAUUAACAUUUGAGACUAACCAUGGCAGAACUAGUUAAACAGAGAUUAUUUUCGUCACUUUCUAGAAGUAAAGAAAAUAACUCAAAAUAGUGAAAAAAAUCCAGUUGAUGUCCAAAGUUCUCUGUGGUUGCAGAUAGGAGAUAGGAAGGCAAUUGUUGUAUAACAGAAGAAUAAUGAUUGUAUCCUGGGAAGACACAAGUUCAAGCACUAGCUUGGCCCUUCAGCCUUAUAUGAUAGUGAGCAAAUCAGCUCAGUUCUUUGAGCCUCAGUUUCUUCACAUGUUAAAUAGGCAUAAUAUAAUCUUAAUUUAAAAGACUAUUUGUGGGACAACUGGGUAUUCACAUGUGAAAGAGUGAAAUUGCACCCCUACCUCAUAUCAUAAACAAAAAUAAACUCAAAGUGGAUCAAAGAUCUAAAACUGGGCCUGGCCCUGUGGCCUAUUGGUUAAGUUUGACGUGCUCUGCUUUGGCAGCCCAGGUUCAGCUCCUGGGCAUGGACAUACACCACUCAUCAGCACCCAUGCUGUGACAGUGACCCACAUACAAAAUAGAGAAAGAUUGGCACAGAUGUUAACUCAGGGCAAAUCUUCCUCAAGCAAAAAUGAGGAAGAUUGGCAAUGGAUGUUAGCUCAGGUGAAUCUUCCUCAGCAAAGAAAAAAGAAAAGACCUAAAACUAUAAAAUUCUUAGAAAACAGGUAUAAAUCUUCAUUACCUUGGAUCAGGCUGUGGUUUCUUAGAUGCAACACUGGAACCAUAUACAACAAAAUAGAUAAACAGGACAUCUUCAAGAUUAAAAACUUCUGUGCUUCAAAAGGCACCAUCAAGAAAGUGUAAAGACAAGCCACAGGGUGUACCAUGGUGUGAAUGUUUGUGUCCCCCCAAAUUCAUAUGUUGAAAACCUAAUGCCCAAGGUGACAGUAUCAGGAGGUGGGGCCUUUGGGAGGUGAUUAGGUUCAUGAGGGCAGAGCCCUCCUGAAUGAGAUUAGUGGCCUGAUAAGAGAGGUUCCAGAGAGCUACCUUGCCACCUUGCUCCAUGUGAGGGCACAGCCAGAGUCAGCAGUCUGCAGCCUGGCCCUUCACUGGAACUCAACCAUGCUGGCCCUCUGAUCUUGGACUUCCACUCUCCAGAACUGUCAGAAAUAAAUUUCUGUUGUUUAAAAGCCACUCGGUUUAUAGUAUUUUGUUAUAGCAGCCUGAAUGGGCUAAUAUAGGAUGGGAGAAAAGUUUUGCAAGUCAUAUAUCUGAAUAGGGACUUGUACCCAGCAUAUAUAAAGAACUAAUUCAACUCAUUAAUAAAAGGACAAAUAACCCAAUUUUAAAAAGAGCAAAGGAUCUGAAUAGACAGUUUUCCAAAGAAGAUAUACAAAUAUCCAAUAAGCACAAGAAAAGAUAUUCAGUGUAAUUAGCCAUCAGGGAAAUGUAAAUCAAAAUUAAAAUGAGAUACUUCACACCCGCUUGGAUGGCUUUCAUCAAACUGACAGAUAGUAACAAGUGUUAGUGAGGAUAUGGAGAAGCUGGAAUCCUCAUACACUACUGACAGGAAUGUAAAUGGCACAGUUGCUUUGGAAAAUAGUCAGGCAGUUCCUCAAAUGGUUAAGCAUAGAGUUACCACGUAAUCCAGAAAGUCCACUCCUAGGUAUACACCCAAGAGAAUUGAAAAUAGGUCUUCCAGUAAGAACUUACAUGCAAAUGUUUAUAGUAGCAUUCUUCGUAAUGGCCAAAAAGUGGAAACAACAGGUGUCUAUCAUCAGCGAGUGGAUAGAUAAAAUGUGAUAUAUCCAAACAAUGGAAUAUUAUUUGGCGAUAAAAAGAAGUAGAAUACUGAUAAUGCUACAACAUGGAUGAACCUUGAAAACCUUAUGCUAAGUGAAAGAUCCCAGAAACACAGACUACAUAUUGUAUGACUGCAUUUAUAUGAAAUAUCCAAAAAAGCAAAUCCGCAGAGAGAAAGCAGAUUAGUGACUGCCUGGGGAAUGGGACGACUGAGCAAGCAAUGGCUGAGGGGCUUAGGGCUUCUUUUGGAGGCAAUGAUAAUAUUUUAAAUAGAUUGUGGUGAUGGUUGCACAACACUGUGAAUAUAAUAAAAGCCUUUGAAUCUUACACUUUAAAUUGUAUUCUAUGAAAUUGGUGAAUUGUAUGGUACGUGAAUUAUAUCUCAAUGAAAGCUGUUUAAAAAAGGCUAUUGCGAAGAAUAACCAAGGUGGUAGUAUGACUCUUAGAACACAAGGCAGGUGUGUAAAGAAAUACAGCUUUUUAAAUACUCCAUAAAAUAUCCAAAUUCCUGAUUCUGAGGUCCUGUUCUUUUGGGCCAGCUGCAAAUUCUAUAGGAAUAAUUAAUUCUGAG